RNAcentral lists this ribosomal RNA (106 nucleotides) under Pogona vitticeps (central bearded dragon). Lineage: Eukaryota; Metazoa; Chordata; Lepidosauria; Squamata; Agamidae. The record is from RNAcentral.
CAGAGGCACUGUACCACUCUGAACACACAGAAUCUUAUCUGAUUUUGGAAGCUAAGCAUGAUCAGGCCUGGUUUGUAUUUGGAGGGGAGGUGAGUAGUAACCUUGC